RNAcentral lists this ribosomal RNA (1343 nucleotides) under uncultured bacterium. RNAcentral's name for it is "16S ribosomal RNA". It matches the Rfam family "Bacterial small subunit ribosomal RNA", at positions 28 to 1378 of the family's 1533-position model. The record is from RNAcentral.
GACGAACGCUGGCGGCGUGCUUAACACAUGCAAGUCGAACGGAAAGGCCCUGCUUUUGUGGGGUGCUCGAGUGGCGAACGGGUGAGUAACACGUGAGUAACCUGCCCUUGACUUUGGGAUAACUUCAGGAAACUGGGGCUAAUACCGGAUAGGAGCUCCUGCUGCAUGGUGGGGGUUGGAAAGUUUCGGCGGUUGGGGAUGGACUCGCGGCUUAUCAGCUUGUUGGUGGGGUAGUGGCUUACCAAGGCUUUGACGGGUAGCCGGCCUGAGAGGGUGACCGGCCACAUUGGGACUGAGAUACGGCCCAGACUCCUACGGGAGGCAGCAGUGGGGAAUAUUGCACAAUGGGCGGAAGCCUGAUGCAGCAACGCCGCGUGCGGGAUGACGGCCUUCGGGUUGUAAACCGCUUUCGCCUGUGACGAAGCGUGAGUGACGGUAAUGGGUAAAGAAGCACCGGCUAACUACGUGCCAGCAGCCGCGGUGAUACGUAGGGUGCGAGCGUUGUCCGGAUUUAUUGGGCGUAAAGGGCUCGUAGGUGGUUGAUCGCGUCGGAAGUGUAAUCUUGGGGCUUAACCCUGAGCGUGCUUUCGAUACGGGUUGACUUGAGGAAGGUAGGGGAGAAUGGAAUUCCUGGUGGAGCGGUGGAAUGCGCAGAUAUCAGGAGGAACACCAGUGGCGAAGGCGGUUCUCUGGGCCUUUCCUGACGCUGAGGAGCGAAAGCGUGGGGAGCGAACAGGCUUAGAUACCCUGGUAGUCCACGCUGUAAACGGUGGGUACUAGGUGUGGGGUCCAUUCCACGGGUUCCGUGCCGUAGCUAACGCUUUAAGUACCCCGCCUGGGGAGUACGGCCGCAAGGCUAAAACUCAAAGGAAUUGACGGGGCCCCGCACAAGCGGCGGAGCAUGCGGAUUAAUUCGAUGCAACGCGUAGAACCUUACCUGGGUUUGACAUGGAUCGGGAGUGCUCAGAGAUGGGUGUGCCUCUUUUGGGGUCGGUUCACAGGUGGUGCAUGCCUGUCGUCAGCUCGUGUCGUGAGAUGUUGGGUUAAGUCCCGCAACGAGCGCAACCCUUGUUCACUGUUGCCAGCACGUUAUGGUGGGGACUCAGUGGAGACCGCCGGGGUCAACUCGGAGGAAGGUGGGGAUGACGUCAAGUCCUCAUGCCCUUUAUGUCCAGGGCUUCACGCAUGCUACAAUGGCUGGUACAGAGAGUGGCGAGCCUGUGAGGGUGAGCGAAUCUCGGAAAGCCGGUCUCAGUUCGGAUUGGGGUCUGCAACUCGACCUCAUGAAGUCGGAGUCGCUAGUAAUCGCAGAUCAGCAACGCUGCGGUGAAUACGUUCCCGGG